Long non-coding RNA from Zingiber officinale, 672 nucleotides. RefSeq lists it as uncharacterized. The record is from RefSeq and is a predicted model, not a curated record. The transcript has 5 exons. Lineage: Eukaryota; Viridiplantae; Streptophyta; Magnoliopsida; Zingiberales; Zingiberaceae.
CCUCCUCCUUCCUCUCUUCGCUCUUCCCGGCUAAGGUAGGGGCCGACAAGAUCCGAACAGCUAGAGGACGCCCACGACCACCAUGGCACGGUUGGUCGGCAACAUGAGGGAAUCCGAAGGAAGAGAGAACAACACCGAGAUCUCUGAUCUUGUGUAAAGGGGUCUCCUUCUUCUGAAGCAGAGAGAUCGAGUGCAGUACAAGAAUAACGAAGUAUGUCUGCCUGUUAAAACCCUAAAAUUGCAGGCAUAAAGGCUCUCCGUGCUUCAUUUUCUCCUUCUCGGCCUCUUCGCUCGCUGGCGCCGAAGCCUUUUCUUUUCCCCCGACUUUCUCCUUCUCGCGACUUCGGACUUCACGCGACCGAGACCGGCGAUUUCUUCUUCUCUCGGUGGCGCCGGCGAAGAGCGGACCUUGGAGCGUUGAGAGGAAGAGAGGUGGUUCUUUCUGGGAAGCAGAGACUGGUAUUUUGGUCCCGGCCACCAAAGCUCUGUUGGAUCGAUCUCUUCUUCGUAUCAGUGAUCGUCUCCGGUGAUUGAAGGGUGCAGAGAGGAUGCGAUGUGCUUAUUUUAGAUACUGGAUUGGGAAGUGCAGAGAAUCAAGCAAGGGUCAAGGAGUUGCUUCAUGUGGAGGAAUCAAAACUAGAGGAGGAUGAGGGAAAUACCACUCCAGUAGUG